Molecule: ribosomal RNA, 253 nt
Filed under: uncultured microorganism
Description: partial 16S ribosomal RNA
Rfam family: Bacterial small subunit ribosomal RNA
Source: RNAcentral
UACGGAGGGUGCGAGCGUUAAUCGGAUUUACUGGGCGUAAAGCGUGCGCAGGCGGCCCGUUAAGACAGGUGUGAAAUCCCUGGGCUCAACCUAGGAAUUGCGCUUGUGACUGGCGGGCUCGAGUACGGUAGAGGGGGGUGGAAUUCCUGGUGUAGCAGUGAAAUGCGUAGAGAUCAGGAGGAACACCGAUGGCGAAGGCAGCCCCCUGGGCCUGUACUGACGCUCAUGCACGAAAGCGUGGGGAGCAAACAGG